Molecule: RNA transcript, 424 nt
Organism: Arabidopsis thaliana (thale cress)
Lineage: Eukaryota; Viridiplantae; Streptophyta; Magnoliopsida; Brassicales; Brassicaceae
Exons: 1
Source: RefSeq
CUGUUUACCUAUAUCUAUAUCUAUAUCUAUAUAUACAUCUUCAUGUUUCCCUGUAUGAGAAUCAAAUCAUAUUUAGUAUGAAUUAAUUAAAAGAAGAGAGAAAAACUAAUAGAUCGAUCAUCGAUGGGGAAAAUGAUUAUGUUUAUAGUCUUUAUGGCAGUUUUCUUGCUAAUCUUAAUCAUUUGGCUAAUCCACUUUCUCUACAACAAAACUAAGAAAGAUGGCGGCAAGAUAAGAACCAGUUGCCACCCCUUCGGCUAUGACGACGGCGUCUGAUGUCACCAACAACAACCUUUGCGUAUCUUUAUGGAAUGCAUCAUUAAACUCUACUCUCUUUGUGGAAACCAUUAUCCUAAUUCUUAUUUGUAUAAUUGUAUGUAAUCUAUGAAUAUAUUUAAUAUCAUUAUUUCAAAACCAAUUACAG